UAGAACGAACGCUGGCGGCGCGCUUAAGCAUGCAAGUCGAACGGCAAGAGGUAGCAAUACCUCCUAGAGUGGCGGACUGGUGAGUAACACGUGGGUGACAUACCCUUCAGAUGGGGAUAGCUAUUAGAAAUAGUAGAUAAUACCGAAUACGAGCACAGGGGUUAGAGAUCUGUGAGGAAAGGAGCUAAGGCUCCGCUGAAGGAAUGGCCUGCGGCCCAUUAGCUAGUUGGUGAGGUAAGAGCCCACCAAGGCGAUGAUGGGUAUCCGGCCUUAGAGGGUGAACGGACACAUUGGGACUGAGAUACGGCCCAGACUCCUACGGGAGGCAGCAGCUAAGAAUAUUCCGCAAUGGACGAAAGUCUGACGGAGCGACGCCGCGUGGAUGAAGAAGGCCGGAAGGUUGUAAAAUCCUUUUGAAACUGAAGAAUAAGCGUUGUAGGGAAUGACAGCGUGGUGACAGUAGGUUUUGAAUAAGCAACGGCUAAUUACGUGCCAGCCGCUGC
This 503-nucleotide ribosomal RNA is filed under the name uncultured bacterium. RNAcentral's name for it is "bacterial SSU rRNA". It matches the Rfam family "Bacterial small subunit ribosomal RNA", at positions 26 to 518 of the family's 1533-position model. The record is from RNAcentral.